Molecule: ribosomal RNA, 1372 nt
Filed under: uncultured bacterium
Lineage: Bacteria
Description: bacterial SSU rRNA
Rfam family: Bacterial small subunit ribosomal RNA
Source: RNAcentral
GAUGAACGCUGGCGGCGUGCCUAAUACAUGCAAGUCGAGCGAACGGACGAGAAGCUUGCUUCUCUGAUGUUAGCGGCGGACGGGUGAGUAACACGUGGAUAACCUACCUAUAAGACUGGGAUAACUUCGGGAAACCGGAGCUAAUACCGGAUAAUAUUUUGAACCGCAUGGUUCAAAAGUGAAAGACGGUCUUGCUGUCACUUAUAGAUGGAUCCGCGCUGCAUUAGCUAGUUGGUAAGGUAACGGCUUACCAAGGCAACGAUGCAUAGCCGACCUGAGAGGGUGAUCGGCCACACUGGAACUGAGACACGGUCCAGACUCCUACGGGAGGCAGCAGUAGGGAAUCUUCCGCAAUGGGCGAAAGCCUGACGGAGCAACGCCGCGUGAGUGAUGAAGGUCUUCGGAUCGUAAAACUCUGUUAUUAGGGAAGAACAUAUGUGUAAGUAACUGUGCACAUCUUGACGGUACCUAAUCAGAAAGCCACGGCUGACUACGUGCCAGCAGCCGCGGUAAUACGUAGGUGGCAAGCGUUAUCCGGAAUUAUUGGGCGUAAAGCGCGCGUAGGCGGUUUUUUAAGUCUGAUGUGAAAGCCCACGGCUCAACCGUGGAGGGUCAUUGGAAACUGGAAAACUUGAGUGCAGAAGAGGAAAGUGGAAUUCCAUGUGUAGCGGUGAAAUGCGCAGAGAUAUGGAGGAACACCAGUGGCGAAGGCGACUUUCUGGUCUGUAACUGACGCUGAUGUGCGAAAGCGUGGGGAUCAAACAGGAUUAGAUACCCUGGUAGUCCACGCCGUAAACGAUGAGUGCUAAGUGUUAGGGGGUUUCCGCCCCUUAGUGCUGCAGCUAACGCAUUAAGCACUCCGCCUGGGGAGUACGACCGCAAGGUUGAAACUCAAAGGAAUUGACGGGGACCCGCACAAGCGGUGGAGCAUGUGGUUUAAUUCGAAGCAACGCGAAGAACCUUACCAAAUCUUGACAUCCUUUGACAACUCUAGAGAUAGAGCCUUCCCCUUCGGGGGACAAAGUGACAGGUGGUGCAUGGUUGUCGUCAGCUCGUGUCGUGAGAUGUUGGGUUAAGUCCCGCAACGAGCGCAACCCUUAAGCUUAGUUGCCAUCAUUAAGUUGGGCACUCUAAGUUGACUGCCGGUGACAAACCGGAGGAAGGUGGGGAUGACGUCAAAUCAUCAUGCCCCUUAUGAUUUGGGCUACACACGUGCUACAAUGGACAAUACAAAGGGCAGCGAAACCGCGAGGUCAAGCAAAUCCCAUAAAGUUGUUCUCAGUUCGGAUUGUAGUCUGCAACUCGACUACAUGAAGCUGGAAUCGCUAGUAAUCGUAGAUCAGCAUGCUACGGUGAAUACGUUCCCGGGUCU